UUGUCUUGGUGUCGCACACGGCCGUGCGUGUCUUCCAGCGCUGGUUCCCCGUUUGUUCGUGGUGCUCCCUGGUGACGACGCGGGGGGGGGCACAUGCCUCUGUGCGUUGUGUCUCUGGGCCCAGUGCCCACUCUCUCUGUGGGGAAGCCAAGCAGCCCCUAUUCCUGCCACUGCACAACCACCUUUGGUGGUGACAGGGUCAGGCGCGCGUGACGUAGGGACGUCAGAGCGAUGUAUCACUGCCGAUGCCCGCAGUGUCCGGUGCUGGACGGCGUGGCGCCGGAGCGACCCGCGGCCGCGCACACGUUUUCGCCAUCCACAGGAUGGGCGGAGUGUCGGCGUGACUCGAACGCGUCCCACCCCCGGCCCUCACUGCCCACUGGGGGCGGGGUGAGUCUGGGCCCCCCGAGAGGGAUGCCCCGGGUGAUGGCCAGCAUAAUGUGCGUGGCUGUGGGGCGACCUGUGGGGCGGGGUUGGGUAAGGUUCGAGGCAGAAGCCAUGCACCGAUGACCGGGUCUGGGCAUUGCUGCACCUCGUGUGCCUACGGCUGCCUCGCGCCGCGCGACGGGGCCUGUGACCGGCCGGGCAGAGAUGAGCCUAAGCUAUUGUUGUGUGGUGGCAUGGGCGUGGAAGGAAGAAAAUCGAUGGGGGUGCCCUCCUCCCCUUUCUCGCGGCUCGGCAACGCAGCGACUAGGUAGGAGUUUUGCUUUUUCUGUGUGGUGGUGUGCCUCUCACCCGUGCAGAGGUGCAUAAGCACACACCCGUGAAGUGACGGGUGGCAAGGAACCAUUAACCGAGCGCUCUUGCUUUCGUUUUCCUCCCUUCCACGUGCUUUUUGCAUCUUGCUGAUGAUGUUGGGACCUCGUCACCGCAUCUUCUUUAUCCUUCUUCCAUCAUGAGCUGGCAUUCCCUUCCCUCCCUGCCCCACUCUCUCCCGCCCAAAG
This 944-nucleotide unclassified non-coding RNA is filed under the name Leishmania donovani. RNAcentral describes it as "gene:unknown". The record is from RNAcentral. Lineage: Eukaryota; Euglenozoa; Kinetoplastea; Trypanosomatida; Trypanosomatidae.